UGGACCAGUGAUGGCGACUGGUGUGAGUCAUGCACAGUGAAUAUCAUGUGUUGGGAACUCUGAGGUCCAA
Molecule: small nucleolar RNA, 70 nt
Filed under: Macaca nemestrina (pig-tailed macaque)
Lineage: Eukaryota; Metazoa; Chordata; Mammalia; Primates; Cercopithecidae
Description: Small nucleolar RNA SNORD113/SNORD114 family (ENSMNEG00000026601.1)
Rfam family: Small nucleolar RNA SNORD113/SNORD114 family
About the family: The imprinted human domain at 14q32 contains two clusters of tandemly repeated small nucleolar RNAs named 14q(I) and 14q(II) snoRNAs. These two clusters are named SNORD113 and SNORD114 respectively in the HGNC approved gene symbol nomenclature.
Source: Rfam by way of RNAcentral